GGCGGCCCCCCGCACUCCCGGGGCGUCUCCGGCUCAUUGCGAGCGGAGGCGCACCUAGAGCGUUCACGUUGGGACCCGAAAGAUGGUGAACUAUGCCUGGCCAGGACGAAGCCAGGGGAAACCCUGGUGGAGGUCCGUAGCGGUUCUGACGUGCAAAUCGAUCGUCGGAGCUGGGUAUAGGGGCGAAAGACUAAUCGAACCAUCUAGUAGCUGGUUCCCUCCGAAGUUUCCCUCAGGAUAGCUGGCGCCCAGGUUGAGACGAGUCUCAUCUGGUAAAGCGAAUGAUUAGAGGCAUUGGGGUCGAAACGACCUCAACCUAUUCUCAAACUUUAAAUGGAUGAGAACCCCGGCUUGCUUGAUCACUUCUCGUGAAGCCGCGGGCUCGGAUCCGGGUGCCAAGUGGGCCAAUUUUG
RNAcentral lists this ribosomal RNA (413 nucleotides) under Halobates bryani. RNAcentral's name for it is "LSU rRNA". It matches the Rfam family "Eukaryotic large subunit ribosomal RNA", at positions 742 to 1139 of the family's 3401-position model. The record is from RNAcentral. Lineage: Eukaryota; Metazoa; Arthropoda; Insecta; Hemiptera; Gerridae.